Molecule: ribosomal RNA, 409 nt
Filed under: bacterium
Lineage: Bacteria
Description: partial 16S ribosomal RNA
Rfam family: Bacterial small subunit ribosomal RNA
Source: RNAcentral
UGGGGAAUAUUGCACAAUGGGCGAAAGCCUGAUGCAGCGACGCCGCGUGAGGGAUGACGGUCUUCGGGUUGUAAACCUCUUUCAGCAGGGACGAAGCGCAAGUGACGGUACCUGCAGAAGAAGCACCGGCUAACUACGUGCCAGCAGCCUCGGGAAUACGUAGGGUGCAAGCGUGGUCCGGAAUUACUGGGCGUAAAGAGUUCGUUGGCGGUUUGUCGCGUCGUUUGUGAAAACCAGCAGCUCAACUGCUGGCUUGCAGGCGAUACUGGCAGACUUGAGUACUGCAGGGGAGACUGGAAUUCCUGGUGUAUCGGUGAAAUGCGCAGAUAUCAGGAGGAACACCGGUGGCGAAGGCGGGUCUCUGGGCAGUAACUGACGCUGAGGAACGAAAGCGUGGGUAGCGAACAGA